UGCCCAGUUUGCACCAUUUUCUUGGUAAAGCAAGCCUCUUCAGAACAUGUCACAAUCACUGUGUCCUUCAUUUUUGUUGAAAAGGGGAAAUACCAUUGGACAUGAAGCUUACUGGAAGAAGGCUUAGACAGGGAAUAGAUAUGCAAAGCCAUUACCACGGAAACUCUCAAACAUAAAGGCCAAGCCAAUGUUUCGGCCAUUGCCUUUGCCCAUCACCAUCUUCCCCAUGACCUUCGCCAGAAUUGAGCGUGGUUAGGGAUGAUGUGAGUAGGAUGGAUGGAUGAUGCAGGAUGGAUGUUCAUGAGUCCAGCUUGGCAAGCACUGCAGCUUUCCUAUGUGAGCAAGACUCGAGCCGAUCAUGCUUCUGGUGUGCUCUAUGUUUCUAUGGGAAGACCAUGUGACUGUGUGACCAGUGACAUUUGCACGAACUGACCCAAAGUACCUCCUGCAGGAAGCGCUGCUCCCUGUGGCAACUUGCCUUUCUUCAUCCAAUGGCUCCAUGCAGAUAACCAUGGCAACCUGGACAGCUGAGCAUUGAAUAUGGCAGGGCCACGAAGUGGAAGAAUCUUGGAAUCUUGCAUGCAUACUUGGGGGAGAGCUGUCUCUGCUCAGAACCUCCUGGUUCCUAGUUGACAUGAGUGAGAAUUUUAAUGGCUGCCUGCUGUGCUUGAGUCAUUAUCUGUUACAUGUGUGCUAGCAACCACUAGAUGCCACCUAGAUUGUAAGCAGCAUAAUAUCAGAGAGACUGCUGUAUUGGUCUUUUCCUAGCUGUAUUUCCAGAACGCUAGCACAGGAGCAGACAUUCCAAUGGUCCUCAGUAAAUGCUUCUGGAAUGGCUGACUGACUGAAUGAAUAAAUGUCUCCAUAGAACUUUAGAGCUGGUAGGGACUGAGGCAUCAUACAUUCCUGAUGUCAUGUUAUAACAAAGAAAUGAAAGCUCACAGAGAGGAAGUGACUUGUCCAAGGUCCAAAAACUAGUUAAUUCCAGAAAAGGAAUCAGCAAGCACGGAGCCUCAGUCUGUGGCCUUUCACCCAUCCAUAUUUCCCUCCAUGGUAACCAUAUUUAUAUUAGCAACUGCUAAGGAAAGAAAAGGAUAAUUUCAUGCCUCAACUUCUAACCUAUUAUCACAACAAGAAUGAGUUGCAUAGUCACACAGUUCACAUGUGAAAUAUGUUGUGAGUGGGCCAUACUGCUUUGCCAGACCUUCAUGGGAAACCACUUUGUAAAUCCCAUAGGAGGAAACACAUGUAACUGUUAUUAAUCUGUACCUUAUAAAGUUAGGGAAGUGAUCCUGCCACAAUUCGACUUGAACAGGGUUUUGCAGAAAGGAUUAGAUCUGGUAUGAGGGAUAAAGUCUUGGAGCAGGAUGCUGUGUAUACCAAAGCUAAGAGUCAGCAAAGGCUGCUAUGCAUAGCUAUAGUAGUCUCAGCAUGACUGAGGCCCAGUUUGACUAAAGGGCUGUUGGCAAGUUGGCCCAAAAGAAGGUCAGAUAGAUAAUAAGACUCAAAGAUUAUAUUUGAUAAUUGGUACUUAUAUCUCUUUUAUUUGAAUGAAAAUAAUAGGUACACAUAAAUAUCAACUCCAUUUCAUCUAAGCAGCAUCCAUUUCAUUAAACAUUCAUGUAGAACACCUUUCCCCACACAUACACAGACUUAUCCCAAUCCAACCACUGAAAGAUUGUAAGUUUCCCACAAAGACCUUUGAAAACUCAGCUCUUUGAUGGAAUGACUGAAAAAUAAAGACUUUUCUGGGGCCAUUACUCUUUGGUUCUGGUUUAAUA
Molecule: long non-coding RNA, 1781 nt
Organism: Canis lupus familiaris (dog)
Lineage: Eukaryota; Metazoa; Chordata; Mammalia; Carnivora; Canidae
Exons: 4
Source: RefSeq, a predicted model, not a curated record